Micropterus dolomieu (smallmouth bass) is the source of this 852-nucleotide long non-coding RNA. RefSeq lists it as uncharacterized. The record is from RefSeq and is a predicted model, not a curated record. The transcript has 4 exons. Lineage: Eukaryota; Metazoa; Chordata; Actinopteri; Centrarchiformes; Centrarchidae.
UCAUCGGACCUGCUUCUUCGAUGGUGGAGGCCGUAAACUCGAGAUUUUCAUACAUUGUGCCUGUCUUUCCGUCUUCGGCGUUGAUACCUCAGUCUUCGCGGAUGGUUUGCCGUAAGGCGACAGUCUGCAGAUCGAGGAGUUAAUCAUCGGAAUCUUUGCUCUUUACGUAACGGGAGUCCGCACUUUUCCAGACACGCUAUUGGAUGACAACUACAAAUACGUCAUGGAUGUCGGACCCCAAAUGUGUAUGGGAGUCGCCUGACGGUCGGUCAGCCUAAACACGAGCUCUCCACAUGCCACAGCUGCUUUGGAUGUCCCCUCAUGUUCCUCAAAGUCAGCCUGAAAUGUAUGACUGCAAGGUGUCACACAGCAUUGCUUGCCAAGCCAUCACACAUGGGUCAACAACUUGGGGUACAUUUCGGAAAAAGGUCUCCUCUUCUUUAUACCACACAGACUAUGCUGCCAUCUACUCUGCCUCCUUCACAUGCCAAAGCAGAGAUGUGGACUCUGCACCUGAACAUGUUUAAUGAACUGAAAACAUGGCAUCAGCACCAGACAAAGAUCUGCCUUUUGGGAGACUGCUUCAUCAUGUGCAUACUGGACCAAAAACAUGUCACUCAGCCAACUCCUGUUUCCUGUGUCUAGCCGGCGGUGCAGCCGUCUCCAGUCCAGACAACUAGACUUUUCUGUGUCCUGAUGGCGGUCUGGUCGACACCAGCUCCUGGUUCCUUAUUGGCAAUGACAGCAACCACCUGAUUUGGUAAUGCAGCAACAACUUCCUGACCCUGCUGAUCUGCAAAUACCCCUAGUUUCUGUGCUGCAACAACCACCUGAGCCCGAACUGUAACAGUC